RNAcentral lists this ribosomal RNA (463 nucleotides) under uncultured eukaryote. RNAcentral's name for it is "SSU rRNA". It matches the Rfam family "Eukaryotic small subunit ribosomal RNA", at positions 580 to 1046 of the family's 1831-position model. The record is from RNAcentral.
UAAUUCCAGUAUACAAUAGGCGUAUUUUAAAGUUGUUGUGGUUAAAAAGCUCGUAGUUGAACCUUGGGCCUGGCUGGCCGGUCCGCCUCACCGCGUGUACUGGUCCGGCCGGGCCUUUCCCUCUGUGGAACCCCAUGCCCUUCACUGGGUGUGGCGGGGAAACAGGACUUUUACUGUGAAAAAAUUAGAGUGCUCCAGGCAGGCCUAUGCUCGAAUACAUUAGCAUGGAAUAAUAGAAUAGGACGUGUGGUUCUAUUUUGUUGGUUUCUAGGACCGCCGUAAUGAUUAAUAGGGACAGUCGGGGGCAUCAGUAUUCAAUUGUCAGAGGUGAAAUUCUUGGAUUUAUUGAAGACUAACUACUGCGAAAGCAUUUGCCAAGGAUGUUUUCAUUAAUCAGGAACGAAAGUUAGGGGAUCGAAGACGAUCAGAUACCGUCGUAGUCUUAACCAUAAACUAUGCCGAC